This 5958-nucleotide long non-coding RNA is filed under the name Olea europaea (common olive). RNAcentral describes it as "long non-coding RNA (OEUR_LNC002527)". The record is from RNAcentral. Lineage: Eukaryota; Viridiplantae; Streptophyta; Magnoliopsida; Lamiales; Oleaceae.
CACCACGAAAUCGUAAGCCCCGUUCAGUUAGUCGCAUUAGGACCAAGUGAAUAACUGUGAUAUAAUCGGCCAAAGAACUCCGGUCUUGGGCAAUUAGGGCUCCACACACGUCUCAGCCCAUUGCACAGUGGCAAUAUUGCCCGUUGACACGGAGGCCACCCGUUCCAGGGUUUGCAUCUCUGCACAUUAUGGCCCGGGGACUUUCCUGGGGCUCGAACCUGCGAGAGGCAGGUUGACACCCCGUUCACUUCGUUUCGUGGCGAAGCUGGACUUCGUCUCACAUAUUUCGUAUAUAAACCCGUUUUUCAAUUCUUCUCCAUCCGAUGUGGGACGCGACCAAAUUUUUUCAUCCACCCUCGUUGAGGCCCAAGCCGCCUCAACUACUUAAAUUGAAGGAAAUUUUCGUAAAAGUGGUGCAAAAAAUGCUCAACGACUCUGAAAAUCCACGUCGACCCCAUCUUUAAAUUUUAAUCCGCGAAAAAAAAUAUAAUUCUACGUCUACUCUUGUUUGCUAAGCUAGCUAUAAAUAAAGAUAUGUUAAAAUAAUAUAUUUGUUGUAUUUUAUUGAAUCCGAUCUCUACAAACAAGAAACUGACAUUUUUGAUGAUAUCGUCAAUUCAUCGCGACAAUACAACUACGAUUAAAGCAAUUUUUUUUUAUUUGACAUAAUUAUAUUUGAUUUUCUAAAUACAAGUGUUGAUGCAUAUUGUAGAUUUUAAAUUUGUUGAAUAUUUCCAUGUCUAAAUGUAAUUGUGACCUUCUGUAAAUCUUCGUUAAGUCAAUGAACAUGACGUUAAGUAUUGACUCGACUAAUACUCUGAAAAUUAAAAUUUACAUGCUCACUAUAUUUUAUUCUUUCUAAUACUUUUUACCUGUAUUUGGAUGAUGCAUUUAAUUCAAUUAGAAACUCGCAUAUAUUAGGAUUAAAUUUCAAAUAAUUCCAUUUCAAAUUUGGUAUUUUACUUUCUGCAUAGUUAGAGUUAAUCAUGUAUCCAUGUUGAAAAAUUAUCUCGACCAUAAUCAAGUUUUAAGGAAAAAUAUAUAAUUACCUUACUUUCAAUAUACAAUUUCAAAAUUAACUAACUUAAUGAAAUCUUUAAGAAAUUACACAAGGUCAUGGUCAAUUAUUGUUAAUUAUAUAACAAGUCAUCGUGAUUGGUUAUUAUUAUAGUUCUUAAUUAGUUAGAAAAAAAUAAAAAUAAAAAUAAAAUAAAAUAAAAUAAAAUAAAAGCUGCUCAUGCAACAUCGUGACGGCAUUGUAUUCUACCUCAAUGUUAGUUUUUUGUCUGGGUCUCCCACCAUUGUGUUACUUAUGUUGUCGCAUUAUUUUUUUCAUGUAUGGAAUUUUAUGAAUUGAAACAAAAUAAAUUAAUUAACAAAAAAUUUUGGUAACUUAUUUUGAUGCACCCAAGAUAUUUUUUUUAUUAAUUAAUUAAUCAAUAGAAUACCAUGAAAACCUAAACUCCAGGUAUUUGGCUAGCCACGAUAGUGUCAAAUACCAAAAUUUAAGGAAAACAAUUUGAAAAAGAGCUCCUUCUAUCGCAUGCCAAACAAAAGUUAAUUAACAAACGCAAUUCUUUCUUUAUUAUUAUUAUUAUUAUUAUUAUUAUUAUUAUUAUUAUUUUCCAUUUAUUGGGAUGUGUAUAUUUUUGUUGAAAUAUUAUUAUUCAUUCCAUACGUCGAAUUUAAUAUAGUGGAUUUCAAAGGUCGACAAGAAAGAACUUUGUUCAUGGAUGUAUCUGCAAAAUUUAAGAAAACUAAACAAGAGAUGCAAAUUAUGAGAAACGAGAAAUUUUUUAACAGUAAAAAAUAUUGUAUAUAUGGAGGAUCAUAAGAAAGCAUGAUGCAAUUGAUAGGAGAUUUCAUUUGCGAUUUGGAAGAAAGAAACCAAGACUAAGAAAAAGAGAUGUAGACAUAAUUUGAAAAUCUCUCUUUGAAUUUUCAAGGGGAGGCCAACAUGAGCUUCAUAAAUUUGUUUACUAUUACUUUGGAUAGUACAUUUUGUUUAAAGAAUUAAGAAAAUAAAUAAACUAAGAAGAAUUGAAAAAAAAAAAAAAAAUUUAUCUGGCCACAUAAACUUGCAUUCGAAUCUCUCUCUAAACAAGUUAAAAGUUCUCACCUUAAAUAAAAAAAAAUAAAAAAAAACAAAAAAAAAACAGUUUUUCGAUCGGUAGAUUUAAACUGAAUAGAAUAGUAUAACCUAUGUAUCCGAGUUGAACCAUCUUGUUUUGAAAGUCUCUUUUUAUGCUUGACCAAGCUUGUAGUUUGCACAAGCUAAGCCUCGUUUGGUGCACAUUAUUGGGGAAAAUAAUACAUUUUUUUCAUUAAAUCAGCCUACAAUAUUUGACUUCAACACUUUAAGGUAGGACUCAUAAUGUGAUAUUUAAAAUGCAUUUUUGUUGAAAAAAUGUGGAACAAACGGGGACUCAGUGCACUUUACACUCCUAAAAAAUCAACUAAAAGUUUAAUUUCAAAGUGACUCAAUGCACUUUACACUCCUAAUUUAACCUUCCAACUAAAGUCCUUUUUUUUUUUUUUUUUUUGAAUUUAUUUAGCUAUUGUUUGAUUCCCAUUUUGAAAGAAAUAAUGCAUUUUAAAUAGUAGAUUGAUAGACAAUGUGUGAUUAAAAGUUAAAAAAAAAAAUUGAAUUUGCGUGUAAUAUUAUUUUAUUGAAGUAUGUGUUGUUGAAAAUGAGUUUUGAAAAAAUAAAUUUUUAGAAGAAUGAGAAUCAAAUAUGGCUUUAAUAUAGUAGCCAUAAUCGAUAUUUAAUUAAUCCCCAAAACCAAACACUACAAAACUUGCACUAAAUUUAUAAGUUAUUCCCUUCCAAGGGCAUCUAAAGCAGAAUCAAUAGAAUUUGAUAACAAUUUAAAAACCUCUAAAAAUAUUCACUAAUUUCUUGAAUCGUUUUACAUGAACAAAGAAGACCUAGCUCUAAUAUUUCUCGGAAUAACAAACAAUACAUGAAGAAAUUUGAUCCCAGCUGUUGGAUUAAUGAUCAAAUCACCCAAUCGUUGAUCUGGCAAUUAAAUUUGAACCGCUCACCACGUUUGCCAUUUCAUAUUCUAAGGCUCAACUUAUACCAUGAUUUUCACGCCCGCCAAUACGCCUAGGCAGCGAGAAGCGCACCCACGAUAGCUAUUAUUGCACAUUAAAUGUGGUGACAGUUGCGUGUAUGAGAACUUGAACCAUUGUCAGCCGUCUUUUUUGGGAAUCGUUGAUGACAGCUAAUCAUUUUAGCAUGGAUCUCGAUAAUGCCUUGUACUCCCCAACAGUGACCUGUACAAUCUUUCCAAUCUCUCUUACAACCUCAUCUACAUUAACAAAGCACAGCACUUCAGCAUUAUGACUCACGGCAUAUAAGUACAACUACAACUUCGGAACAAAUGAGCGUCAGUUCAGGCAAGUUUCCUCAAAGUGUGGCCUUGAGGGCAGCUAGGUUAACCAAAAACUCUAAUUUUCACAUAAAUGUUCACAAAUUAGACUUGGGGGACUAUAUUGUUAUGCAAUUAAAUUCUCCCACGUGAUCAAAUUUUCUUUUCCUUAUGAAAUACAAAUUCUAUGUAUCACAUGAAUGACUAUACUUAGACUUCAGAAACUAUUAUUACUGAUCAUAAGUAGUACUCUCAAUGAGACCACGUGAGAGCCCCGUGUUCAUACACGUGGCACUUAAUCAAGGGUAAAGAGAGGGUUAUGGAAGUGCUUUUAUCAACAGCCGAGGUCAUAAUGCUGAAGUUCUCCGAAGUGGUCUCUUUUUCCUUGUUCAACCGAAGUGGCUUUUCUCCUUUUUGCCGAACCCCUUCACAUCCGAAGUUCAUAACAUCCAAAAAAGGGUCUGAUAGGCCUAUCUUUAGAAUUGAUUGAUGUGACAUCCUCAUUAAAUAGAUGUCAGGAAUGUCAGCCUAGAAAUGUGGGACGGUUGAUCCCUUGUCAACUGUCUGUCAAAUGUAAUUAAUAUAAGAUAGGAUGAUGCGACAGUAGGGUCUAGCAAAUCAGGUCAUGUGAAUUUGAUCCAACAAUGACCACGUCAGCUUGGUUACUAUAAAUAGCGAUCUUUGUAAGAUUUUAGGGGGAUGAUUUCCAGACAUAUGAGAAAGCAUUGUAUUUUUCUCUCUACAUAAACCCACUCAUUGUUCCAUAUAUUCUUCUUCUACAAGAGUAUGUCUUACUUGUUUUAAACAUAUUUGAUCAGCAAUCAAAUAUUGUUUUAGCUUACAAUCGACAUAUUGAGGAAUACGUCCAUGUGUGCAUCAUUUUGAAUGACAUCUAUUGGCACGUUUUUGGAGGUCAACAAUAAUAAUAACUGUUGACCUCCAAAAAUGGCUCCAACAGGCACCCUAGCCUCGCCCCCUCGAAACCUGCGCAAGUAGCACCCCGUCAAGAAGCAAAGGCAGCCGGACGAGAAGAAGGUCCGACGACCGUUUGCACUCCGACGGUCAAGUCAACGGUCGGACGGAGAUAGAUAUAUAGAGUGCAAUAGUAUGGAGAUAGGGGUUUGGCUAGAGAAUGUAGAACAUACCUUAACUUGUGAAUUGAAUCCAUAUAUAUAAAGAAAUGAUGUGAAAUGGGCUAAGGCGGGUUAAUGGGCCUAAGUUCGAGCCCAGUAUGAGGUGAGCAAAGUGAUAGGCACUUCGGCUGGGCUUUUUAUGGCCUCGGUGGCGCCUCGGCUAGGCUUCUUAGAGCCUCGGCUUUGAGGCCCAACACUAAUGGACCUAGCUCGGGUCCAAUAAGGUGGCCCAAUAUGGAGUGAUAAUUCAUAGGCGUAACAAUAACAACAAUAAAAAAGAGUUGAACUAUGCAUAGUCGUGCUAUCCCGGCAAUCAUCGUUUGCUUCUGGAAGUGGGGAGAUACACGCCCUCUGCCGCCAACCAAACGUUAUCAGCUAGCUUUUUCCGGUCACCACAAAUCUGCAAUGCAUGCAAGGGAGUUGUCUUUGAGGAUGUUACUUAAUGAAAACUGGCAUGAUAUUAUUGAAUACUAUAAUGACUUCAUAUUGAUAUCACCUCUUGUUGUCCGCCAGCUAUGCGGGUGUAUUUCUUGUCAUGAUUGUGUAGGUAUCCACCAGUGUCUACGUGAUGAAAUUUCACCCUUUGGUCUUGCCUCCAUGUCUUUCCAUUUCCCUCAAUCUUUAUUCUAAAUAUCACGUGAAAUACAUGAACACUGUGUGAACAAAUUUCUUGACCAUAUUUCUUCAAACUGAGAUAAGUUCCCAAGAGCAAGUGAUGUGAUAUUCGAUCAGCUUUGGUUCCGUAUUUGCUGAGUUUAUCUGUAUAAAUUAACUGAUACGAAACAUUCUGUUUGAUUGAAAUUUUUGUGAAGUUGCUGUGGUUCUAAAUGUGGGUAAUAUGCUGUUUUCUUAAUAGUCCUUUGAUAUUUUGCAUUGAAGAUCAUAAAUUGAAUUGUUAUUCAGGCUUUGACAAUGAUCCUCUUUAUCAUGUUUGCUGUAUGGGGGAAAAAUUAUACGGUCCUCAAUGCGAUCAUGUGUCUAUUGUCUCAUCUACUUUCCUUGUCAGAUUACACUACUAAGCACUUUUGAGAGAUGAAGAGUCUUAUUCAUGUUUUGUUAGUUAGUUCAAGGAGAAGAGAAAUUGAGAAAGAAUCACGAGAUCGUAGAACCCUUUAGUUAGUCGCAUUAGAACCAAGUAAAUACUUGGCCAAAGAAGUCUGCAGGUCGGAAAAAAAAAAAAAAAAAGAGUAACACCACGAAAUCGUAAGCCCCGUUCAGUUAGUCGCAUUAGGACCAAGUGAAUAACUGUGACAUAAUCGGCCAAAGAACUCCGGUCUUGGGCAAUUAGGGCUCCACACACGUCUCAGCCCAUUGCACAGUGGCUAUAUUGCCCAUUGACACGGAGGCCACCCGUUCCUGGGUUUGCAUCUCUGCAAAUCAUGACCCGGGGACUUUCCUGGGGCUCGAACCUACCAGAUGCAGGUUCACACCCCGUUCACUUCGUUUCGUGG